GAUGAACGCUGGCGGCGUGCUUAACACAUGCAAGUCGAACGGUGAAGGAGAGCUUGCUCUUUGGAUCAGUGGCGAACGGGUGAGUAACACGUGAGCAAUCUGCCCCUGACUCUGGGAUAAGCGUUGGAAACGACGUCUAAUACCGGAUACGAGCUGCGACCGCAUGGUCAGCAGUUGGAAAGAAUUUCGGUCAGGGAUGAGCUCGCGGCCUAUCAGCUUGUUGGUGAGGUAAUGGCUCACCAAGGCGUCGACGGGUAGCCGGCCUGAGAGGGUGACCGGCCACACUGGGACUGAGACACGGCCCAGACUCCUACGGGAGGCAGCAGUGGGGAAUAUUGCACAAUGGGCGCAAGCCUGAUGCAGCAACGCCGCGUGAGGGACGACGGCCUUCGGGUUGUAAACCUCUUUUAGCAAGGAAGAAGCGAAAGUGACGGUACUUGCAGAAAAAGCGCCGGCUAACUACGUGCCAGCAGCCGCGGUAAUACGUAGGGCGCAAGCGUUAUCCGGAAUUAUUGGGCGUAAAGAGCUCGUAGGCGGUUUGUCGCGUCUGCUGUGAAAUCCCGAGGCUCAACCUCGGGUCUGCAGUGGGUACGGGCAGACUAGAGUGCGGUAGGGGAGAUUGGAAUUCCUGGUGUAGCGGUGGAAUGCGCAGAUAUCAGGAGGAACACCGAUGGCGAAGGCAGAUCUCUGGGCCGUAACUGACGCUGAGGAGCGAAAGGGUGGGGAGCAAACAGGCUUAGAUACCCUGGUAGUCCACCCCGUAAACGUUGGGAACUAGUUGUGGGGUCCAUUCCACGGAUUCCGUGACGCAGCUAACGCAUUAAGUUCCCCGCCUGGGGAGUACGGCCGCAAGGCUA
This 857-nucleotide ribosomal RNA is filed under the name uncultured bacterium. RNAcentral describes it as "bacterial SSU rRNA". It matches the Rfam family "Bacterial small subunit ribosomal RNA", at positions 28 to 896 of the family's 1533-position model. The record is from RNAcentral.